RNAcentral lists this ribosomal RNA (1071 nucleotides) under Triticum aestivum (bread wheat). RNAcentral's name for it is "partial small subunit ribosomal RNA". The record is from RNAcentral. Lineage: Eukaryota; Viridiplantae; Streptophyta; Magnoliopsida; Poales; Poaceae.
AUGGACCAGCCCAAGCCGACGCCGUCGGCGGCCGCCUCGCCGGCGGGGGCGGACGCGGCGCCCAACCCCUACGCCUUCACGUGCGAGCUCCCCCAGUCGAUCUACGCGCUGGCCUUCUCCCCCUCCGCGCCCGUCCUCGCCGCCGGCAGCUUCCUCGAGGACCUCCACAACCGCGUCUCCCUCCUCUGCUUCGACUCCGUCCACCCCACCGCCGCCUCCUUCCGCGCCGUGCCCUCCCUCUCCUUCGACCACCCCUACCCGCCCACCAAGCUCCAGUUCAACCCGCGCGCCGCCUCCACGCCCCUCCUCGCCUCCUCCUCCGACGCCCUCCGCCUCUGGCACGCCCCCCUCGACGACCUCUCCGCCUCCGCCCCCGCCCCCGAGCUCCGCUCCGUCCUCGACAACCGCAAGGCCUCCGCCUCCGAAUUCUGCGCGCCCCUCACCUCCUUCGACUGGAACGAGAUCGAGCCCCGCCGCAUCGGCACCGCCUCCAUCGACACCACCUGCACCGUCUGGGACAUCGAGCGCGGCGUCGUCGAGACGCAGCUCAUCGCGCACGACAAGGCCGUGCACGACAUCGCAUGGGGGGAGGCCGGCGUCUUCGCCUCCGUCUCCGCCGAUGGCUCCGUCCGCGUCUUUGAUCUCCGGGACAAGGAGCACUCCACCAUCGUCUACGAGAGCCCCCGCCCGGACACGCCGCUCCUCAGGCUUGCCUGGAACCGCUAUGACCUGCGAUACAUGGCCGCCCUGCUCAUGGACAGCAACGCCGUCGUUGUGCUCGACAUACGCGCACCCGGGGUGCCUGUGGCCGAGCUACAUCGGCAUGGGGGAUGCGUCAACGCUGUUGCGUGGGCACCGCAGGCUGCAAGACACCUCUGCUCCGCAGGGGACGACGGGCAGGCGCUCAUCUGGGAGCUGCCUGAGGCACCGGCAGCAGUGCCUCCCGAAGGGAUUGAUCCAGUUCUUGUUUAUGAUGCGGGUGCCGAGAUAAACCAGCUGCAGUGGGUGGCCGGACACCCGGACUGGAUGGGCAUUUCCAUUGAGAACAAGGUCCAGCUUCUCCGGGUCUGA